This 81-nucleotide non-coding RNA is filed under the name Bathycoccus prasinos. The record is from RNAcentral. Lineage: Eukaryota; Viridiplantae; Chlorophyta; Mamiellophyceae; Mamiellales; Bathycoccaceae.
UUAUAUAUUUUUUCUUUUCUCCCCAACUUUUUUCUCCCUUUUCCACUGUAUAUUUUGUGUGAUUUUUACGAUAAAACAGGG